AACGAACGCUGGCGGCAUGCCUAACACAUGCAAGUCGAACGAGACCUCCGGGUCUAGUGGCGCACGGGUGCGUAACGCGGGGGAACCUGCCCUUAGGUUCGCAAUAACUCCCCGAAAGGGGUGCUAAUACCGGAUAAUGUCUUCGGACCAAAGAUUUAUCGCAUUUGGAUGGGCCCGCGUUGGAUUAGCUAGUUGGUAGGGUAAAAGCCUACCAAGGCGACGAUCCAUAGCUGGUCUGAGAGGAUGAUCAGCCACACUGGGACUGAGACACGGCCCAGACUCCUACGGGAAGCAGCAGUGGGGAAUAUUGGACAAUGGGCGGAAGCCUGAUCCAGCAAUGCCGCGUGAGUGAUGAAGGCCUUAGGGUUGUAAAGCUCUUUUACCCGGGAUGAUAAUGACAGUACCGGGAGAAUAAGCUCCGGCUAACUCCGUG
RNAcentral lists this ribosomal RNA (433 nucleotides) under uncultured bacterium. RNAcentral describes it as "partial 16S ribosomal RNA". It matches the Rfam family "Bacterial small subunit ribosomal RNA", at positions 29 to 507 of the family's 1533-position model. The record is from RNAcentral.